GGGCCCGCACAAGCGGUGGAGUAUGUGGUUUAAUUCGAUGCAACGCGAAGAACCUUACCAGGGUUUGACAUCCUGCGAAUCUCUUGGAAACAGGAGAGUGCCUUCGGGAACGCAGUGACAGGUGGUGCAUGGCUGUCGUCAGCUCGUGUCGUGAGAUGUUGGGUUAAGUCCCGCAACGAGCGCAACCCACGUCUUUAGUUGCCAGCAUUUAGUUGGGCACUCUAGAGAGACUGCCGGUGAUAAACCGGAGGAAGGUGUGGAUGACGUCAAGUCAUCAUGCCCCUUACAUCCUGGGCUACAAACGUACUACAAUGCUACGGACAAAGAGCAGCAAGUUCGCGAGGACAAGCAAAUCUCAUAAACCGUGGCUCAGUUCAGAUCGUAGGCUGCAACUCGCCUACGUGAAGGAGGAAUCGCUAGUAAUCGCAGGU
RNAcentral lists this ribosomal RNA (431 nucleotides) under uncultured bacterium. RNAcentral describes it as "bacterial SSU rRNA". It matches the Rfam family "Bacterial small subunit ribosomal RNA", at positions 917 to 1349 of the family's 1533-position model. The record is from RNAcentral.